Molecule: unclassified non-coding RNA, 212 nt
Filed under: uncultured Rozellomycota
Lineage: Eukaryota; Fungi; Rozellomycota
Description: uncultured Cryptomycota sequence contains ITS2
Source: RNAcentral
AAAUCUCUUUCCAUCUUUGGGUGGGAGACUUGUCGGUUGUGCCCUCGGGUACUCUGAUCAAAAGUAGUAGGUCUUGAUCAGGCUGGUGGCCUGGGACACUGUGUGAUAGAGACGUCGCGAAAGCUACUGUCUUCUCAUGGUGCGUCCUAGGCUAUUCAAGCUGGCUUGGUCGGGCCUCCACAGUCGGUGCACUUGUGCAUUGACAACCCCUC